Molecule: long non-coding RNA, 739 nt
Organism: Carassius gibelio (silver crucian carp)
Lineage: Eukaryota; Metazoa; Chordata; Actinopteri; Cypriniformes; Cyprinidae
Exons: 3
Source: RefSeq, a predicted model, not a curated record
UUGAAGAUGUUAAAAGCAAGAGACAUGGGAGAUCAUCAUUCCCUUGAGAUUUUAUAACUCAAACCAACUUUGGAGUUGUCUGAUUUGGAGAGUCAUUAUUCUUGGUCUGCGCUCUUAGAGGCCCCUGAUGAAGAGCAGGCGGUGACUGGGAUGAAUGCUGGUCAGAGAGGAGAAUCUUCUUUCCCCUAAACAGCAGUGGUUUUAAAGGAGGACGCUGCCCUGGAUGAUGUAGAAGAUGUCACAUGCUGUGCUGAUGGGGUUUCUUCAUGACUACAUCAGUUAUGCUAAAGAGAUCAUGAAAAUUGACAGUGAUGCAUGAUCUGUAUUCAUGGACUAUGAAACAAACUGUAAGUGUAUAAUUUGUUAAAAAAAAAAAAGUUAAAUGCUUUUUCUGUGUUGUUUAGUAGAAAAGUUUACACUCUGUCAUUCAUACACCUGCUAACAUUCUUUCACACACACACACACACACACACACACACACACGCAUCUGUUAAAGGUUAUAAUAUCAAAGUUAAUGUUGUGAUUUAUUUGUGUACUGUCAUGCCAGAAUAGUUGGAAAAAAAAACUAAUUGUAAAUUUAUUGUAUGUGUUUUCGUAUAUUUUUAUACAAUAUAUACAAUUGAACAAAGUCCAAUUUGAUCUUAAGUUAUAUUCAUCAAAUGUUCAAUGCUUUGUUUAUGAACUCUGUAGCUGUUAAUGCCAUCCUUUUCUGCAUUUCUUCUAACAUGUUACUUUUUGA